GGACCCCGUGAGGCUGUCAGCAAACUUCAAGAAUUAUGUCAUCUAUGGCUGAAGCCAGAGAUCCACUCAAAAGAGCAGAUACUGGAACUGCUGGUGCUGGAGCAGUUCCUGACUAUUCUGCCCAGGGAGACACAGACCCAGAUGCAGAAGCACCAUCCACAGAGCAUUGAGGAGGCUGUGGCUCUGGUAGAACACUUGCAGAGGGAAU
RNAcentral lists this long non-coding RNA (208 nucleotides) under Homo sapiens (human). Its description in RNAcentral is "long non-coding RNA NONHSAT148033.2". Lineage: Eukaryota; Metazoa; Chordata; Mammalia; Primates; Hominidae. The record is from RNAcentral.